RNAcentral lists this ribosomal RNA (231 nucleotides) under uncultured bacterium. RNAcentral's name for it is "partial 16S ribosomal RNA". It matches the Rfam family "Bacterial small subunit ribosomal RNA", at positions 28 to 253 of the family's 1533-position model. The record is from RNAcentral.
GACGAACGCUGGCGGCGUGCCUAACACAUGCAAGUCGAGCGGAAAGGCUCCUUCGGGAGUACUCGAGCGGCGAACGGGUGAGUAACACGUGGGUAAUCUGCCCAGGACACAGGAAUAACCAGUGGAAACGCUGGCUAAUGCCUGAUGAAGUGCCGGCCUUGCGGGGCUCGGUACCAAAGGUAGCUUCGGCCUCCGGUCUUGGAUGAGCCCGCGGCCCAUUAGCUUGUUGGC